AACAAACGUAUUCACGCGUGAUUUUAAUUACGUUUCUUAUUUAACGGAAACACAGCAAUUGUGAAAUUGUGUUUCUUCAUAGUGGC
Long non-coding RNA from Poecilia latipinna (sailfin molly), 86 nucleotides. RefSeq lists it as uncharacterized. The record is from RefSeq and is a predicted model, not a curated record. NCBI's taxonomy places the organism in Eukaryota, Metazoa, Chordata, Actinopteri, Cyprinodontiformes, Poeciliidae. The transcript is spliced from 3 exons.